AUUUAAAUAGCUUAAAAAGAGUAUAAUAUUGAAGAUAUUGUGGUGAUUAAUAAAUCUUUAGAUA
This 64-nucleotide transfer RNA is filed under the name Hestina persimilis. Its description in RNAcentral is "tRNA-Phe". Lineage: Eukaryota; Metazoa; Arthropoda; Insecta; Lepidoptera; Nymphalidae. The record is from RNAcentral.